UACAGAGGUCCCAAGCGUUGUUCGGAUUCACUGGGCGUAAAGGGUGCGUAGGUGGCCAGGUAAGUCUGAUGUGAAAUCUCGGAGCUUAACUCCGAAACUGCAUUGGAUACUAUCUGGCUAGAGGGUCGGAGGGGAGACUGGAAUUCUCGGUGUAGCAGUGAAAUGCGUAGAUAUCUGGAGGAACACCGGUGGCGAAGGCGGCAUCCUGGACCGACACUGACACUGAGGAGCGAAAGCCAGGGGAGCAAACGGG
This 253-nucleotide ribosomal RNA is filed under the name uncultured bacterium. RNAcentral's name for it is "partial 16S ribosomal RNA". It matches the Rfam family "Bacterial small subunit ribosomal RNA", at positions 524 to 776 of the family's 1533-position model. The record is from RNAcentral.